AUUGAACGCUGGCGGAAUGCUUUACACAUGCAAGUCGAACGGCAGCACGGGGGCAACCUUGGUGGCGAGUGGCGAACGGGUGAGUAAUGUAUCGGAACGUACCCAGUCGUGGGGGAUAACUAUCCGAAAGGAUAGCUAAUACCGCAUACGUCCUGAGGGAGAAAGCGGGGGAUCGCAAGACCUCGCGCGAUUGGAGCGGCCGAUAUCGGAUUAGCUAGUUGGUGAGGUAAAGGCUCACCAAGGCGACGAUCCGUAGCGGGUCUGAGAGGACGACCCGCCACACUGGAACUGAGACACGGUCCAGACUCCUACGGGAGGCAGCAGUGGGGAAUUUUGGACAAUGGGGGAAACCCUGAUCCAGCCAUUCCGCGUGAGUGAAGAAGGCCUUCGGGUUGUAAAGCUCUUUCAGCAGGAGCGAAACGGUCGGCUUUAAUAAAGUCGGCUAAUGACGGUAC
Molecule: ribosomal RNA, 455 nt
Filed under: uncultured bacterium
Lineage: Bacteria
Description: bacterial SSU rRNA
Rfam family: Bacterial small subunit ribosomal RNA
Source: RNAcentral